GGGUUGUGAGGUUAAGCGACUAAGCGUACACGGUGGAUGCCCUGGCAGUCAGAGGCGAUGAAGGACGUGCUAAUCUGCGAAAAGCGUCGGUAAGGUGAUAUGAACCGUUAUAACCGGCGAUGUCCGAAUGGGGAAACCCAGUGUGAUUCGUCACACUAUCGUUAACUGAAUACAUAGGUUAACGAGGCGAACCGGGGGAACUGAAACAUCUAAGUACCCCGAGGAAAAGAAAUCAACCGAGAUUCCCCCAGUAGCGGCGAGCGAACGGGGAGCAGCCCAGAGUCUGAAUCAGCUUGUGUGUUAGUGGAACGGUCUGGAAAGUCCGACGGUACAGGGUGAUAGUCCCGUACACCAAAAUGCACAGGCUGUGAACUCGAAGAGUAGGGCGGGACACGUGGUAUCCUGUCUGAAUAUGGGGGGACCAUCCUCCAAGGCUAAAUACUCCUGACUGACCGAUAGUGAACCAGUACCGUGAGGGAAAGGCGAAAAGAACCCCGGCGAGGGGAGUGAAAAAGAACCUGAAACCGUGUACGUACAAGCAGUGGGAGCACCUUCGGGUGUGACUGCGUACCUUUUGUAUAAUGGGUCAGCGACUUAUAUUCUGUAGCAAGGUUAACCGUAUAGGGGAGCCGCAGGGAAACCGAGUCUUAACUGGGCGUUAAGUUGCAGGGUAUAGACCCGAAACCCGGUGAUCUAGCCAUGGGCAGGUUGAAGGUUGGGUAACACUAACUGGAGGACCGAACCGACUAAUGUUGAAAAAUUAGCGGAUGACUUGUGGCUGGGGGUGAAAGGCCAAUCAAACCGGGAGAUAGCUGGUUCUCCCCGAAAGCUAUUUAGGUAGCGCCUCGUGAACUCAUCUUCGGGGGUAGAGCACUGUUUCGGCUAGGGGGUCAUCCCGACUUACCAACCCGAUGCAAACUACGAAUACCGAAGAAUGUUAUCACGGGAGACACACGGCGGGUGCUAACGUCCGUCGUGAAGAGGGAAACAACCCAGACCGCCAGCUAAGGUCCCAAAGUCAUGGUUAAGUGGGAAACGAUGUGGGAAGGCACAGACAGCCAGGAUGUUGGCUUAGAAGCAGCCAUCAUUUAAAGAAAGCGUAAUAGCUCACUGGUCGAGUCGGCCUGCGCGGAAGAUGUAACGGGGCUAAACCAUGCACCGAAGCUGCGGCAGCGACACUAUGUGUUGUUGGGUAGGGGAGCGUUCUGUAAGCCUGCGAAGGUGUGCUGUGAGGCAUGCUGGAGGUAUCAGAAGUGCGAAUGCUGACAUAAGUAACGAUAAAGCGGGUGAAAAGCCCGCUCGCCGGAAGACCAAGGGUUCCUGUCCAACGUUAAUCGGGGCAGGGUGAGUCGACCCCUAAGGCGAGGCCGAAAGGCGUAGUCGAUGGGAAACAGGUUAAUAUUCCUGUACUUGGUGUUACUGCGAAGGGGGGACGGAGAAGGCUAUGUUAGCCGGGCGACGGUUGUCCCGGUUUAAGCAUGUAGGCUGAUUGUCCAGGCAAAUCCGGAUAAUCAAGGCUGAGGUGUGAUGACGAGGCACUACGGUGCUGAAGUAACAAAUGCCCUGCUUCCAGGAAAAGCCUCUAAGCAUCAGGUAACAUUAAAUCGUACCCCAAACCGACACAGGUGGUCAGGUAGAGAAUACCAAGGCGCUUGAGAGAACUCGGGUGAAGGAACUAGGCAAAAUGGUGCCGUAACUUCGGGAGAAGGCACGCUGGUGUGUAGGUGAAGUCCCUGCGGAUGGAGCUGAGACCAGUCGAAGAUACCAGCUGGCUGCAACUGUUUAUUAAAAACACAGCACUGUGCAAACACGAAAGUGGACGUAUACGGUGUGACGCCUGCCCGGUGCCGGAAGGUUAAUUGAUGGGGUUAUCCGUAAGGAGAAGCUCUUGAUCGAAGCCCCGGUAAACGGCGGCCGUAACUAUAACGGUCCUAAGGUAGCGAAAUUCCUUGUCGGGUAAGUUCCGACCUGCACGAAUGGCGUAAUGAUGGCCAGGCUGUCUCCACCCGAGACUCAGUGAAAUUGAACUCGCUGUGAAGAUGCAGUGUACCCGCGGCAAGACGGAAAGACCCCGUGAACCUUUACUAUAGCUUGACACUGAACAUUGAGCCUUGAUGUGUAGGAUAGGUGGGAGGCUUUGAAGCGUGGACGCCAGUCUGCGUGGAGCCAACCUUGAAAUACCACCCUUUAAUGUUUGAUGUUCUAACGUUGGCCCCUGACCGGGGUUGCGGACAGUGUCUGGUGGGUAGUUUGACUGGGGCGGUCUCCUCCCAAAGCGUAACGGAGGAGCACGAAGGUUAGCUAAUCCUGGUCGGACAUCAGGAGGUUAGUGCAAUGGCAUAAGCUAGCUUGACUGCGAGCGUGACGGCGCGAGCAGGUGCGAAAGCAGGUCAUAGUGAUCCGGUGGUUCUGAAUGGAAGGGCCAUCGCUCAACGGAUAAAAGGUACUCCGGGGAUAACAGGCUGAUACCGCCCAAGAGUUCAUAUCGACGGCGGUGUUUGGCACCUCGAUGUCGGCUCAUCACAUCCUGGGGCUGAAGUAGGUCCCAAGGGUAUGGCUGUUCGCCAUUUAAAGUGGUACGCGAGCUGGGUUUAGAACGUCGUGAGACAGUUCGGUCCCUAUCUGCCGUGGGCGCUGGAGAAUUGAGGGGGGCUGCUCCUAGUACGAGAGGACCGGAGUGGACGCAUCACUGGUGUUCGGGUUGUCAUGCCAAUGGCACUGCCCGGUAGCUAAAUGCGGAAGAGAUAAGUGCUGAAAGCAUCUAAGCACGAAACUUGCCCCGAGAUGAGUUCUCCCUGAGACUAUAAGUCUCCUGAAGGAACGUUAAAGACGAUGACGUUGAUAGGCCGGGUGUGUAAGCGCAGCGAUGCGUUGAGCUAACCGGUACUAAUGAACCGUGAGGCUUAACCUUACAACGCCGAAG
This 2923-nucleotide ribosomal RNA is filed under the name Klebsiella pneumoniae. RNAcentral's name for it is "23S ribosomal RNA". It matches the Rfam family "Bacterial large subunit ribosomal RNA". The record is from RNAcentral. Lineage: Bacteria; Pseudomonadati; Pseudomonadota; Gammaproteobacteria; Enterobacterales; Enterobacteriaceae.